AUUCCAUGAUGUGGACAUCUCCUUAAAAGAUCCUUGUACCUCUCCCAUGCUUCAUAAAGACUCUUAUUAGCCUUUGGUCUAAAAAAAGUCAAUUAUUGAGCCA
Molecule: small nucleolar RNA, 103 nt
Organism: Hevea brasiliensis (rubber tree)
Lineage: Eukaryota; Viridiplantae; Streptophyta; Magnoliopsida; Malpighiales; Euphorbiaceae
Source: RefSeq, a predicted model, not a curated record